AGAGCGAACGCUGGCGGCAGGCCUAACACAUGCAAGUCGAGCGCCCGUAGCAAUACGGGAGCGGCAGACGGGAUAGUAACACGUGGGAACGCGCCCUUCGGUUCGGAAUAACUCAGGGAAACUUGAGCUAAUACCGGAUACGCCCUUACGGGGAAAGAUUUAUUGCCGAAGGAACGGCCCGCGUCCGAUUAGCUAGUUGGUGAGGUAAUGGCUCACCAAGGCGACGAUCGGUAGCUGGUCUGAGAGGAUGACCAGCAUCACUGGGACUGAGACACGGCCCAGACUCCUACGGGAGGCAGCAGUGGGGAAUAUUGGACAAUGGGCGCAAGCCUGAUCCAGCCAUGCCGCGUGGAUGAUGAAGGCCUUAGGGUUGUAAAGUCCUUUUAACGGGGAAGAUAAUGACGGUACCGCAAGAAUAAGCCCCGGCUAACUUCGCGCCAGCAGCCGC
RNAcentral lists this ribosomal RNA (448 nucleotides) under uncultured bacterium. RNAcentral's name for it is "SSU rRNA". It matches the Rfam family "Bacterial small subunit ribosomal RNA", at positions 26 to 518 of the family's 1533-position model. The record is from RNAcentral.